ACAGGGACUAACAGAAAUGCAGAUAUGACCAAGACAAGACCCAUUCGCCUGCAAGCAGCAGUCUCUGCGACUCACCCAAAGACAUGUGGAGGGCUGUACUUACGAGCCUGGGAGACACACUGGAAGCCACAGCAGUGUGUGCAUCGACCACCUCCCUGUCACCUGGUGCCGUCACUAGUGGAGAGACCUUGGACAACCACAUAGCCAUGCUGGGGAUGGGCGAAUGAGACAGUUUAUCUCACCUCAGCAAAGUGGAGAGUGAUUGAGGAGCACACCUGAUGUCCAUCUCUGGCCUCCAUGCACAGAAAAACGUGUGCCCAGACACGUCACAUGAAUUCACAUACACACAUACACAUGCAAAAAUGUAUGGGAGAUAGAUGUAUGGGCAACCAAACAAGUGGGGCACUAACAUGUGGAUCUGACAGAGGAACUGGGGAGAUGAGCAAGAAUGCAGCUUCCAAUGCGAGCCUGGCAAUCAGCACCAAUGUGACGGAGGCUGACGCUGAGGAUACUCGACACCUACCAAAGCAGCGAUCUGGAGGCUCCUGAGAGCUCGUCACCCAAGCAGACUUAGAACUCGCCUGCCAUGGCUCAGGGAAUGAGGAGGGUCCCCAGCAGAAUGGGUGCAGGGGCGAGGGAAAGA
Molecule: long non-coding RNA, 643 nt
Organism: Jaculus jaculus (lesser Egyptian jerboa)
Lineage: Eukaryota; Metazoa; Chordata; Mammalia; Rodentia; Dipodidae
Exons: 3
Source: RefSeq, a predicted model, not a curated record